CAGUUCGGAUUGUAGGCUGCAACUCGCCUACAUGAAGUCGGAGUUGCUAGUAAUCGCGGAUCAGAAUGCCGCGGUGAAUGCGUUCCCGGGUCUUGUACACACCGCCCGUCACACCAUGGAAGUUGGGGGCGCCCGAAGUCAGUGGCCCAACCGCGAGGGGGAGCUGCCGAAGGCAGGUCCGGUGACUGGGGUGAAGUCGUAACAAGGUAUC
This 211-nucleotide ribosomal RNA is filed under the name uncultured bacterium. RNAcentral's name for it is "partial 16S ribosomal RNA". It matches the Rfam family "Bacterial small subunit ribosomal RNA", at positions 1289 to 1500 of the family's 1533-position model. The record is from RNAcentral.